This is a long non-coding RNA of Leopardus geoffroyi (Geoffroy's cat), 232 nucleotides long. RefSeq lists it as uncharacterized. NCBI's taxonomy places the organism in Eukaryota, Metazoa, Chordata, Mammalia, Carnivora, Felidae. The transcript is spliced from 3 exons. The record is from RefSeq and is a predicted model, not a curated record.
AAGUGCCCCCGCCCCGUAUCUGUACAGCGGUUUAUUUACAUGCUUCAGAAGGAGAAAAGGCUUUCACAGUUUCCUACAGAGUAGGGCACAGUGCUUAGUGGUCAUGCAGUAAACAGUGGACACUCCCUAGACGACAUUAAGCAGGAAUCCACAAGAGGCUGGCACUUCUUUCUUUGGUCAUGAGUGUGACAUGUGUGAUAAGAUCAGAAAAGCACAAGUCUUAACUCCUAGU